Non-coding RNA from Coturnix japonica (Japanese quail), 2611 nucleotides. The record is from RefSeq and is a predicted model, not a curated record. Lineage: Eukaryota; Metazoa; Chordata; Aves; Galliformes; Phasianidae.
UGCUCGCACCGUGCCUCCCCUUCCGGAGUGCGGGGAGGGUGCGGGGCCGCAUCGUUGCUUCCUGUCCGGGUGUCCUCCUCCCUUUCCCCGCAGGUACGCGGUGGGAGUGAGCGGGGAGGAAGCUGAACGUGACGUUUUCAGUCAGAGGACACAAGGAAAAAGGAGGACAGAAAGAAGAUCACAGCAGCACCGAAUGCAGCGAAUGAGGAGUCAUGGAUCUGAAAUUCACUUCAGCAAGAAAAUACGUUUCCAUCAGUGUACCUUCCAAAUCUCAGACUAUGUCACCCCAUAUCAAAUCAGUAGAUGAUGUUAUAGUCCUUGGCAUUAAUCUUAGCAAGUUUAACAAGCCGGCUCAAUUUUUCAUCUGUGUUUCCGGAGUUUUUAUGUUUUAUCUAAUCUAUGGAUAUUUACAGGAAUUGAUAUUUUCAGUGGAAGGUUUUAAACCUUUUGGUUGGUACCUCACUUUAGUGCAAUUUGGAUUUUAUUCCGUUUUUGGACUAAUAGAAUUGCAGUUGAUUCAGGACAAAAGGAGAAGAAUUCCUGGCAAAACCUACAUGAUAAUAGCCUUCUUGACAGUGGGAACUAUGGGUUUGUCAAAUACCUCGUUAGGAUAUCUUAAUUACCCUACUCAAGUCAUCUUCAAGUGCUGUAAACUGAUUCCGGUUAUGGUAGGAGGGGUUUUUAUACAAGGAAAACGUUACAACAUUGCAGACGUGUCUGCUGCCCUGUGUAUGAGUCUUGGAUUAAUAUGGUUUACUUUAGCUGACAGCACAGUUGCACCAAACUUCAACUUGACAGGUGUGGUCCUAAUAUCCCUUGCACUCUGUGCAGAUGCAGUCAUAGGAAAUGUACAGGAAAAAGCUAUGAAGUUGCACAAUGGUUCUAAUUCAGAAAUGGUUUUAUACUCCUACUCAAUAGGUUUUCUGUAUAUUUUGUUUGGAUUAACUUGCACUAGCGGAUUAAGCCCUGCAGUAGCAUUUUGCUCACAGCAUCCAAUUCAGACUUACGGUUACGCAUUCCUUUUCUCCCUGACUGGAUAUUUUGGAAUAUCCUUUGUUCUAGCUUUGAUUAAAAUCUUUGGUGCCCUUUUGGCUGUAACAGGUUACCUUUUCUUAAAACUUCAAACAUCAGUCACAAGGGACUGGGGUGGGGAGGUGUAGCAAGAUGCCAUGGAACUACUUUGCUCUCCUCCCUCUCCCCACAAAAGCUGGUUUCUGUCAGUAACAACAGGAAGAAAAGCAAUGACAAUUGUGCUUUCUUUUUUGUUCUUUGCGAAGCCAUUCACAUUCCAAUACGUGUGGUCAGGCUUACUGGUUGUCCUUGGGAUAUUUCUUAAUGUUUACAGUAAGAAUAUGGAUAAAAUCAAGCUGCCUUCCCUGCAUGGUAUUUGGAAAAGAAAUGUGGAAGAAAGAAAAACAAGGACGUUGUCACAAACUGUAUAGAGAAUGGUUGAUGCCAUGUCUAGACUCUGACUUCCUGUUUUAUUGGAACGGUCUUCAACUGAUUCGCUUUCCAAAGGGAACAUUAUUAAAACCAAAGGAGCUGAAGGCACAGUCUCUGCUUGCAGAUGGCUGGAAAUGCACAUUUUUGUGAGCCCUUUCUCCAGAGCACUUGAAUUCAUCGUGAAAGGCAUUAUAGGCCUUAACCAGGUGGCAUUAUCAGGCAAUGAAGGACAGCAGCUCCUUGCAAACUGCUGAGAAGCUGCACUCUGAAUGUGACACAGUAGAAGACUUACUUGGGCAUUUUAAUGAUAUUGGCCACGUGUCUGAUUCCAGAUUAGUGUUUCUUAGUCUUCGUUAAUUGUCUGGCUGAGGUAAUUUAAAUGUUAAUUCACUGUAUUCACAUUUAAUGGAACCUAAUUAUCAACUGGUUGACCAAAUUGCAGUUUUAAAGGUGCAAGAUUUAGAAUAUGGUAUGUUGUCACUCUUUGUCACGUUAAAUAAAAAUGCUGUGUUUUUAAUAAGUUACUGAUCAGGUCAUCACAAAACUUAUUGUCAUAACUCCCGUUUUACUGGAAAUCUUAAGGUGUCAUUCUGCUCGGUGGUCAUCACUUGCAAGAAAUGAGAAUAAGACUCUGUUUGAGCAGUCAACACCCGUGCUUUUACAACAGUGGAAGUGGACUUUGGACAUCAAGUAGCUGAGAACAGAAAAUGAAAAUGUCGUGAUUGAAAUAGUGGUGUAAGAGAUUGUAGUUCGCUUAUUCUAUGGGGAAGCAGGAAAAUUUCCAUGGCCUAUGGCCCUCUUUGUCAAAGUGGUGUGAUGAGAUACGAAAGAAGGUUCUCUGAACUAGUAUCAUCAAAUUAAAAUUCUCUAUUUUCAGUAUUGGCCUAAAGAAUAACAGCAUCUGAUACUGGAUUUGAGAUAUGGAUCAUGUCGGUCUCUGUGUGGUAAUGAAUUUAAGAAGGUUAGUGUUCAGACCACAAUUUCCUUUGUUUUGUGAUAGGAGGAGGCAAUUUACUUCCAGUCUUUUCAUUGUGAAUUUGAGAAGAUUGAGUCCAUUUUUCUUUCCAGCUUUCCUUUUUGACUCAUUUUGAAUCACUUGCCUUCUCUUUCAUUGUAUGUAUUUAACACUAGCACUUUAAAAAUACAGAUCACUUUACAGUUCAUUGUU